UAAGAAGAGUCGAGGAAAAGGUAUUGUUUUAUGCAUCUGGUUUGCUGAUUCAGUAUUUCUUGUUUGGUUGAUUGCUAAGUACUUCUUGUUGGCUUUCUUAUUGUUUUAUAUAUUUUGAGAAUAUGAUGAUGUUGAAAUGGUAUUAUAAAUCGCAGAAACCUGUUACUGUUAUAUGUUUUGCUACGACCGCUUGAGGGGUCAAGGAAUCCAACAGAAUGUUUAGAGUUGUUGAAUUGUCUGAUCAGUGAAUUAGAUCCCCCGACGAUGACAUGGAGGGAUUACUUCUUUAGAUCUGUCUAUUUUUAGAAAUAUUUGAUCUUUGAAUUGGAAAAGUAUAAAAAUAAGGACUUACUGUGGGGUUUUAUUCUGUGCAGUUGUGCCUACGGGAUUAGCUACUGCCUUGGAUGUAAACCUGAGCAAUGAGUCCCUUGUUUUCAUAUCGGUUACAUUUGCGACAAUGGCCUAUGGCAUGGCUGCUAACAGGAGAUCUUUAUGCUUCAAACGACCAAGGUGCCAUGUGUACUCAUCCUCUCUGAGAGCUUCAAACUGAGCUGCUAUCUGCUCUUGAGCAGUUCGCAACUUUGUGCUACGAUGUGUAUUACUAGCUCUUCAUGUUGUAACCGAAACAUUGAUGCAUGAACUCGAAACAUUGAUGUAACCGUGUUGUUUUGCUUGUGUUGUAUUGCAGGACCAAAUAUAGUAAACGAAACAUUGUUGUAACUGUGUUGUUUUGCAACAGAUUUCACUAUAUGUGAGUUUGAGAGUUGCAGUCUCUUUCAAUUUGUUGUUGAUAUGUGGUGUAUAUCCAUUAUUUGUUGAAACAUAGACAGUGAAUUUUCUUGUUAUGUACCUAUUGUGUUUGCUUA
Molecule: long non-coding RNA, 866 nt
Organism: Asparagus officinalis (garden asparagus)
Lineage: Eukaryota; Viridiplantae; Streptophyta; Magnoliopsida; Asparagales; Asparagaceae
Exons: 2
Source: RefSeq, a predicted model, not a curated record